GAUGAACGCUGGCGGCGUGCCUAAUACAUGCAAGUCGAGCGAACGGACGAGAAGCUUGCUUCUCUGAUGUUAGCGGCGGACGGGUGAGUAACACGUGGUUAACCUACCUAUAAGACUGGGAUAACUUCGGGAAACCGGAGCUAAUACCGGAUGAUAUUUUGAACUGCAUGGUUCAAAAGUGAAAGACGCUCUUGCUGUCACUUAUAGAUGGAUCCGCGCUGCAUUAGCUAGUUGGUAAGGUAACGGCUUACCAAGGCAACGAUGCAUAGCCGACCUGAGAGGGUGAUCGGCCACACUGGAACUGAGACACGGUCCAGACUCCGACGGGAGGCAGCAGUAGGGAAUCUUACGCGAUGGGCGAGAGCCUGACGGAGCAACGCCGCGUGAGUGAUGAAGGUCUUCGGAUCGUAAAACUCUGUUAUUAGGGAAGUAGAUAUGUGUAAGUAACUGUGCACAUCUUGACGGUACCUAAUCAGAAAGCCACGGCUAACUACGUG
This 497-nucleotide ribosomal RNA is filed under the name uncultured bacterium. RNAcentral's name for it is "partial 16S ribosomal RNA". It matches the Rfam family "Bacterial small subunit ribosomal RNA", at positions 28 to 507 of the family's 1533-position model. The record is from RNAcentral.